UGGGGAAUAUUGGGCAAUGGAGGAAACUCUGACCCAGCGACGCCGCGUGCGGGAUGAAGGCCUUCGGGUUGUAAACCGCUUUCAGUUGGGAAGAAGCGAAAGUGACGGUACCUACAGAAGAAGCACCGGCUAACUAUGUGCCAGCAGCCGCGGUAAUACAUAGGGUGCAAGCGUUGUCCGGAAUCACUGGGCGUAAAGCGCGUGUAGGCGGCCCGAUUAGUCGAGUGUGAAAGCCCGGGGCUCAACCUCGGAAGCGCAUUCGAAACUGUCGGGCUUGAGUACGGGAGAGGGAAGUGGAAUUCCUGGUGUAGAGGUGAAAUUCGUAGAUAUCAGGAGGAACACCGGUGGCGAAGGCGACUUCCUGGCCCUAUACUGACGCUGAGACGCGAGAGCGUGGGGAGCAAACAGG
This 409-nucleotide ribosomal RNA is filed under the name uncultured bacterium. Its description in RNAcentral is "bacterial SSU rRNA". It matches the Rfam family "Bacterial small subunit ribosomal RNA", at positions 355 to 776 of the family's 1533-position model. The record is from RNAcentral.